CAGUCCGCGUCCAUCUCCACGCUCCCAUCGUUCCGAGCGACUCAAGCAUCCUAGCAUCGCGCCCAGCAGCCGUCCACGAAGCUUCCGGCCGUGAUCCCAGCCUCCACCAUGGCCAUGAUCGGCUCCUCCCAAUGAUCUCGCCUUCCAUUCCAUGUGCGAUCCCGGAUGAUCGCCUCCUUCUCCAGCAACGGUUCCGUGGCUAGCCCCUCUCCCGUGAUCCCAGCGCCUCACAGCCGCUCCAUUUCGUCUCCUCUGCGUCUGCAAGCAUUCCAUGAUCCAGCUUCCCGAAUCAACGCCCCGCCAGCCGU
RNAcentral lists this long non-coding RNA (308 nucleotides) under Phoenix dactylifera (date palm). RNAcentral describes it as "long non-coding RNA (PDAC_LNC021485)". Lineage: Eukaryota; Viridiplantae; Streptophyta; Magnoliopsida; Arecales; Arecaceae. The record is from RNAcentral.